UACAUUUAAUUUAUAAAUGAAUAACUUAUUCAACUAUCUAACAAUAUAAAAACUAAAAUCAAAAUGAAUUUAAAAACAAAUUCCACCUAAAAACCCUAAAAAGUCAAGAGUGCUCUCUGAGCAUCCCAAAGAAAUAACGAUUACUAUGGUUGGGCAGCGGACGAGUGGUAACUUGAGGGUAUGGAAACAGAAAAUAAAUUAAUUCUCCUUGAAGAAGAACUGAUCCAGUUAACAGUAAAGAGUUCGCUAGUAACUCCAGCAGAAAAUCCAACGCUGAUCUGCACUGUUUGGAAAAAGAAAUCAUAUAACCAAUAUAGUUUGAGAGCACAAUUAAGAAGUGUAUGGAAAACUAGAAAGUAAUUCGAGAUUAAUAUUGUGGGGCAGAACCUGUUUUCAAUAGUUUUUGAAGACGAGGAUGACUUGGAGCGUAUCAUGGAAGGCCGCCUAUGGCUUUUUCGAAAACAACUAGUAAUUUUUGAUUGAUUAAAGGAACCACUGGAGCGAGGCAAGAUUCGACUGAUUUUUUCCCCUUUUUGGAUAAAAAUAGGGCCAUGUCCUCCAGAAUGCGACAAAAAGGAUCUGAUGCAUGCGGUGGGAUCCACGUUUGGGGGUGUGAUACGAUCAGAGAUUAAAGGGGAUUUUUGUCGGCUUAAGGUCAAUUUAGAUGUUCAGAAACCACUACGGAGAGGUCUGUUUGUCUCUCCAAAUAAUCAAGGAAAAACCUGGCUUCCUUUCAAAUACGAAACCCUACCAAAGUUCUGUUUUGGGUGUGGUCGGAUAGGGCAUGGGGUUAAAGACUACAUGAGUAUUUCGUCUGAAGAAAGAGUAAAGACAGAGGAUGACUUACCUUAUUCAAUAGCGCUCAAAGCUGAAUCUUCUAUCAAAGGAAAAGAAAGCAUAUGGCUCGGGUCCCCGAAAAAGAAAACAAUGAUACAGUGUAACUAUACAGGCAUGGAAGAACCGGAUAGUAACAGUAAGUGCUAUACAAAUUCAUUGAUGCCGGAGAUACAGAUAGAUAUGAAGAUGACAAAAGUUUCAAAAAAAAACGCAAAUGUUCUGGAAGCAGGUGAUGGGGAGGAAAAUAACAAAUUUAAUGAUGGUAUUGAUAGUCUUGGAAAGUGUAUGACCACUGUGGAGGAAAAGUUACAGAAAAACCAAAGUAGCAUGAUAGAAAAUCAAAUAGAUGAAGUGGAGAUUAAAAAUUAUGAAGAAUGGGAAGCAACGCAACAACCGAGAUAUGACAGAAGCAGCUGGCGUAGAUUGGACAGGAAGGAGAACUUUGAUGUAAAUAUGUCAGAAAAGAUCUUGGGUAAAAUACAAGUUUAAUCACGAAGGCCUAGUUGAGAAUGUGACAUAUCCCACUAAUGAAAGUCCGGUUAAAAAAGCAAAGGCAAAUAAGGAUAGGGAGGAUGGUUAUGUCAAUUCUGAUUGUAAGCAGACUGUUUCCCACGUUAGUUCGGAACUGACAAAAGUUAUAUUGGCGGCUGCCAAUGGGCAAGCCGACCGGAAACCAUGAAACUCCUAAGUUGGAAUGUCCGGGGACUGGGGAAUCUCCGGACUAUUAGGAGAUUUCAACACACGUUGAAACUCUACAAACCCCAACUAGUCUGCAUAAUGGAGACAAAAUUGGAUCAUAGACGCAUGAAACUAGUCAGGAGAAAAUGUGGUUUUCAGAACGGGAUAGACUUAUCAGCAACGGGUACACGUGGUGGAAUUUGCCUAUCAUGGAAUGAAAAUUACUUGGUUAAUGUUCUUAGUUAUUCAGAAUCUCAUGUUGAUGCUGAAGUCUCUGAUGAAGAUAACUCAAACAAAUAGAGGUUCACCGGAUUUUAUGGGAAUCCACGAGUCUCAGAUAGGUAGGAAUCUUGGAAUCUUCUUCGAAGGCUACGAGAAACAAAUUCAGGAGCAUGGUGUGUAUGCAGUGAUUUCAACGAGAUUAUGUAUGCUUAUGAAAAAACAGGAGGCGCAACAAGAAAUGAAAGGCAGAUAGAGGCUUUUCGAAAGGUCUUAACAGAUUGUGAAUUAGUUGAUUUGGGUUAUACGGGCCAGAAGUACACAUGGGAGAGAGGCAAUUUCCAGAACACAAAUAUUCAAGAACAGCUAGACCGGGGAGUGGCAAAUAAUGCUUGGCUCAACUUGUUUAGUAAUUACGAGGUACAAAAUCUUCCACAUUUAUUCUCUGACCAUUGUCCGAUUCUAAUCAAAACAGAGAUAAAUAGUGCACAUGAUGGGAGAAACCGCUUUAAGUUUGAGUCUUGGUGGCUUAUGGAACCAAAUUGUGCUGAUGUUAUUAGGCAACUAUGGGAUGAGAAAUCAGGUGAUGCUUUUGCUAAAUUGGAAAAUCUUCGAGCUGGCCUACAAAAAUGGAGACGCAGUAUCAAGUACAUAAAAGAUAGGAAAAUGAAGAACCUUCGAGAUUGACUGGUUCAACUUGAUAGUAUGGAUCGGGACGACGAUGUGAUAGCAGAAAUCUUUGAUGUAAAGCUGGAGCUUAAUUGGGAAAUGAAAAAUGAGGAAUUGUAUUGGGAACAACGGGCCAGAGCCAAUUGGUUGCGUGAGGGUGAUAAAAAUACAAUGUUUUUUCAUAGUAAAGCCACGCAAAGACAGAAGAUGAAUCGUAUCCGGGGAUUAGAAGACAAGAAUGAAAUCCUUAAGACAGAAAGAGAGGAUAUGGAGACCAUCGUUAAAGAUUAUUUUAUGGAGCUCUUUAAAUCAAAAGGGUUGGCAACACAAACCAUCUCUUAUCAGGGGUUAAAAAAUGUGUCAAUGAGGAUAUGAAUCGAAUAUUAGUAGCAGAUUAUAAGGAGUAAGAGAUAGUUGAAGCGCUUAAGAGUAUAGGGCCGACAAAAGCCUCUAGGCCUGAUGACUUCCCAGCUAUUUUCUUUCAGAAAUUUUGGUUUAUUGUGGGCAAGGAGAUUUGUGAGUUUUGCUUAGAAGUCCUAAAUAAAGGUAUGUCUUUGCAACCUUUAAACCAUAUGAAUAUAGUAUUAAUUCCAAAAUCGGCUCACCCGAAUAGCCCCAUAAAUUUUAAACCUAUCUGCCUAUGUUCGAUGUUUUACAAAAUAAUCUAAAAAAUGAUAGUAAAUAGACUCCAAAAGGUUCUUGAUUCUUGUAUUGAUCCAGCCCAAAGUGUGUUUGUCCCUGGAAGGCUUAUUACUGAUAAUGUUCUCAUUGCAUACGAAAUCUUACAUACUCUCCGGAACAAAAGAGUGGGAAAAAAAGGGUUCAUGGCCUCUAAGAUUGAUAUGACUAAGGCAUACGAUAGGGUGGAAUGGGGGUUUCUGAAACAAAUGAUGAUUAAGAUGGGUUUUGAUGAAGAAUGGGUUGCGAGAAUUAUGCAGUGUAUUAAUACGGUCACAUAUUCGGUGAUUUUAAAUGGCGUCCCAGGAAUGGUAUUUAACCCUGAAAGAGGACUACGCCAAGGCGAUCCACUUAGCCCUUUGUUAUUUCUCAUAUGUAGCGGAAGGACUUUCUACACUACUAAGGCUAGCAGCUGAGGAAGGAAGACUAAAAGGGAUCAAAGCAAGCAGACGAGGACCUCAGAUCUCUCACUUGUUAUUUGCUGAUGAUUGCAUUCUAUUUGGGGAAGCAACAGAGAGAGGAAUUACAACAUUUGAACAAAUCCUACAAGAGUACCAGGAAUGUUCCGGUCAAUGCAUUAAUUAUGAAAAAUCAGCGAUGUUUUUCAGCUCAAAUACUUUAGAGAUAGUUCGAGCGAAUAUAUCAAACCGACUGGGAGUUAAAAGGUCCAAUAACUGUGAAAACUACUUGGGUUUACCAAAUAUGGUGGGCCGAAGAAAACGUGGGGCUUUUCAACAUUUAAAAGACCGUAUAAAGAUGAGAAUAGACAAUUGGAGUACUCGUUUGUUAUCUUAAGGAGGGAAAGAGGUGUUCAUUAAAGCUAUUUUACAGCCAAUUCCCACAUACACAAUGUCCUGUUUCUUAUUACCAAUGACUACGUGCUACGAAAUGGAACAAUUGAUGGCCAACUUCUGGUGGCAAAAGGGGAAAGGUAAACGCGGAAUUUAUUGGUGAUCUUGACACAAAUUAUGUGAAUUAAAAGAUGAGGGUGGACUUGGUUAUCGUAAUUUAGCGAAAUUCAAUUUGGCCCUCAUUGCAAAACAAGGGUGGAGAUUAAUUGAUAAUCUGAUGUCCCUUUUGGAGAGAACAUUAAAAGCAAAGUACUAUCAAAACUCUGAUUUCUUAAGGUCGGAGUUAGGAAACUCACCAUCAUAUACUUGGAAAAGUAUAUGGGCAGCCAAAGGGCUACUGCUCUCAGGUCUAAGCUGGAGGGUUGGUGAUGGAAGUAACAUCAAAAUUGAAGAAGAUGCUUGGGUUCCGAAUGCUAAUGGUUUGCUGGUUCAGAAAACAGGCAAUAGGCAAGAGGUUACUAAAGUUUCAGAAUUUAUCGAACAUAGAAAUAGAACAUGGAAGUCGGAGCUGAUUCAUACUACCUUUUCGGCAGAGAUUGCACAACAGAUUUUAUUAAUCCCAUUGGCCCGUUCUCUUCACGAGGACUUUCUGUGUUGGAGAGGCGAGGCAUCUGGCGAAUAUACGGUACGUAGUGGGUACAAAAUUCUCUUACAAAGUAAUGGAAAUUACAACCAAAGUGCGAAUAAUAACUUCUACAAAAAAAUCUGGACAAGUGACCUCCCUUUAAAAAUUAGAAUUACAGCUUGGAGAUCCACUUUUAAUUAUCUUCCUACCCUAGCAAACUUAAAAACAAAGCGAGUAACUAAUAACGACAUUUAUCAGAGGUGCAUGCAAGGGCAGGAAAAUAGAAACCAUCUUUUUCACGAUUGUGCUGUCAGCAAAGAAACAUAGGCAGAGUUAGAGUUUACAUGGCCCCAGAACAUUUUACAGUCCGAAUAUAUGGAAUGGUUUACCUGGACGGUGUUAAACAAUAAACCAGAAGUAGUCCGAAUUUUUAUCUGCGCCAUAUGGGCUAUCUGGUCAGCUAGGAAUAAAUAGGUCCACGAAAGUCAGAAGCGUUCUGGAGCAGAAACAACAAAUUUCAUCCAGAAGUACAUAAGAACUAAAAGUUAUUGAAAGAAAGAAACUCACCUCGGAUCGGAAUUUCAAGGCAUGGAGGCCUCCGCCACAAGGUUUCUUCAAGAUCAACUUCGAUGCUGCUUUUGAUAAAAAGGAGAAAAAGUCAUGUUCAAGAAUAAUAGUCAGGAACCCCAAAGGAGCAGUUACAGUAUCAAAAAAGCAAAUACAUACCAACAUUUCCUCUAGUUUUGCAGCUGAAGCCAUUGCAUGUUUACAGGCAGUUAAUAUAGGCAGAGAACUAGGCUUAACUCAUGUUAUCAUUGAAGGUGACUCUUUGACAGUGAUAAAGAAGAUACAGAAUCAAAAUAGAGACAGAUCGGAAAUAGGGCCUUUCAUUUUUGACAUAAAAGAACGAAGAACAAUGUUUCUUGAAUGUCAGUUCCAACAUGUAAAGAGAACAGAAAAUGCGAAAGCACAUAACCUGGCAUCAGAAGGGCUGAAAAUGGACAGGCAUACAGAUGUUAACCACGGGCAUGCAACGACAACUCUAAUCGGGGCUGGCAACGACACAUCUAAAAAUGGACAGGUUGUUACUGAAGCAGAAGUUGAUCGGGGCUGGAAACGACAUCUCUAAUCGGCUAUGAGUCAUCUUCAAAGAGUUUUUGCUGAAGUUAAAGUAACAGAGAAUAAGGUUCAGGAGAGGACGGAAGGAUAUGAAAUGGAAAAGGAAGGAACAAAAGUAAAUCAAAAGUCAUGAGGCAACAAAUUUCCUUGAAACUCUGGAACGUCUCCAAAAUGAAAAGACAGAUGAAAGGAUGAGACGUACACAGAACUCUCUGAUUGGGUGAAAGGGCUGG
Molecule: long non-coding RNA, 5849 nt
Filed under: Gossypium barbadense (sea-island cotton)
Lineage: Eukaryota; Viridiplantae; Streptophyta; Magnoliopsida; Malvales; Malvaceae
Description: long non-coding RNA (GBAR_LNC003955)
Source: RNAcentral